This 348-nucleotide unclassified non-coding RNA is filed under the name soil metagenome. RNAcentral's name for it is "partial contains 5.8S ribosomal RNA, internal transcribed spacer 2, and large subunit ribosomal RNA". The stretch from base 3 to 120 matches the Rfam family "5.8S ribosomal RNA", at positions 37 to 154 of the family's 154-position model. The record is from RNAcentral.
GCUGAAGAACGUAGCGAAAUGCGAUAAGUAAUGUGAAUUGCAGAAUUCAGUGAAUCAUCGAAUCUUUGAACGCACAUUGCGCCCGCCAGUAUUCUGGCGGGCAUGCCUGUCUGAGCGUCAUUUCAACCCUCAUGCCCCUAGGGCGUGGUGUUGGGGAUCGGCCAAAGCCCGCGAGGGACGGCCGGCCCCUAAAUCUAGUGGCGGACCCGUCGUGGCCUCCUCUGCGAAGUAGUGAUAUUCCGCAUCGGAGAGCGAUGAGCCCCUGCCGUUAAACCCCCAACUUUCCAAGGUUGACCUCAGAUCAGGUAGGAAUACCCGCUGAACUUAAGCAUAUCAAUAAGCGGAGGA